RNAcentral lists this ribosomal RNA (115 nucleotides) under Pantoea anthophila. RNAcentral's name for it is "partial 23S ribosomal RNA". The stretch from base 1 to 97 matches the Rfam family "Bacterial large subunit ribosomal RNA", at positions 2828 to 2925 of the family's 2925-position model. Lineage: Bacteria; Pseudomonadati; Pseudomonadota; Gammaproteobacteria; Enterobacterales; Erwiniaceae. The record is from RNAcentral.
GAAGGGACGUUGAAGACGACGACGUUGAUAGGCCGGGUGUGUAAGCGCAGCGAUGCGUUGAGCUAACCGGUACUAAUGACCCGUGAGGCUUAACCUUACAACGCCAGAGGCGUUU